GACGAACGCUGGCGGCAGGCCUAACACAUGCAAGUCGAACGAAGGUCCGGAGCUUGCUCCGGGUGCCUUAGUGGCGGACGGGUGAGUAACGCGUGGGAACCUACCUAGCAGUACGGAAUAACUGUGGGAAACUGCAGCUAAUACCGUAUACGCCCUACGGGGGAAAGAUUUAUCGCUGUUGGAUGGGCCCGCGCCUGAUUAGCUUGUUGGUGAGGUAAAAGCUCACCAAGGCUGCGAUCAGUAGCUGGUCUGAGAGGAUGAUCAGCCACACUGGGACUGAGACACGGCCCAG
RNAcentral lists this ribosomal RNA (292 nucleotides) under uncultured bacterium. Its description in RNAcentral is "partial 16S ribosomal RNA". It matches the Rfam family "Bacterial small subunit ribosomal RNA", at positions 28 to 334 of the family's 1533-position model. The record is from RNAcentral.